RNAcentral lists this ribosomal RNA (497 nucleotides) under uncultured bacterium. Its description in RNAcentral is "partial 16S ribosomal RNA". It matches the Rfam family "Bacterial small subunit ribosomal RNA", at positions 28 to 507 of the family's 1533-position model. The record is from RNAcentral.
GAUGAACGCUGGCGGCGUGCCUAAUACAUGCAAGUCGAGCGAACGGACGAGAAGCUUGCUUCUCUGAUGUUAGCGGCGGACGGGUGAGUAACACGUGGAUAACCUACCUAUAAGACUGGGAUAACUUCGGGAAACCGGAGCUAAUACCGGAUGAUAUUUUGAACCGCAUGGUUCAAAAGUGAAAGACGGUCUUGCUGUCACUUAUAGAUGGAUCCGCGCUGCAUUAGCUAGUUGGUAAGGUAACGGCUUACCAAGGCAACGAUGCAUAGCCGACCUGAGAGGGUGAUCGGCCACACUGGAACUGAGACACGGUCCAGACUCCUACGGGAGGCAGCAGUAGGGAAUCUUCCGCAAUGGGCGAAAGCCUGACGGAGCAACGCCGCGUGAGUGACGAAGGUCUUCGGAUCGUAAAACUCUGUCAUUAGGGAAGAACAUAUGUGUAAGUAGCUGUGCACAUCUUGACGGUACCUAAUCAGAAAGCCACGGCUAACUACGUG